UCCUGAGGAGGAGCGUUGCGACCCGCAGUGUUUGCCUGUUGUUUGGUUUGAGCAGCAGCAGGUGCCCUGCGUCCUUGGGUUUUUUGUUGCCUGUGAACUUGAGCCUUUUUGGCACAUCAACAGAUUCCCGAAACACUGGAAUGAUCAGGUUCAGCUUUCUGUGCUUAGAUCUGGUUGCAUCAUGAAGUGGGAUGGCCGCAGUGGGAGCUCGAGCGCAGCCAUGACCGAAGAGUUCAGAUAUGGUUUGAUGAAGGAUGGCGAGCCUGCCCGGUGGCACAGUGCGGCUCAGGGCUCCGUGACAAAGUUCAAAUUAUUUCCAGGUUGCCGGGAACUUCUACAGCCCCCUUAUCAAUAAAUCCUGCCAGUUGCAGCAGCAGUUUGUUAUGACA
Long non-coding RNA from Limanda limanda (common dab), 389 nucleotides. RefSeq lists it as uncharacterized. The record is from RefSeq and is a predicted model, not a curated record. The transcript is spliced from 2 exons. NCBI's taxonomy places the organism in Eukaryota, Metazoa, Chordata, Actinopteri, Pleuronectiformes, Pleuronectidae.